Long non-coding RNA from Ostrea edulis (European flat oyster), 721 nucleotides. RefSeq lists it as uncharacterized. The transcript is spliced from 2 exons. The record is from RefSeq and is a predicted model, not a curated record. NCBI's taxonomy places the organism in Eukaryota, Metazoa, Mollusca, Bivalvia, Ostreida, Ostreidae.
AAAUUAGGGAGUUAUUGUUGUGUAAGUGCUUCAUGCGUUUCGAUGAUGUUUACGUGCCUGCGAAUACUGGGAACCUGCAAUACUUCGAUUAAUCAGGAGGCAGUCAUGCUCUUGCGUUUGGGAGGAGGACUCUGCGUGAAGUUAAAUAUGCUAGUGCAGUCGUUGGGGGUGCACCCUACAUCCCCGAGGUGGCUCUGUACUGCAGGGAGGGGGUCUGACAUCAUCCUCUGGUCCUUCGCCGCUUUUCUUUUUCCCUCAUGGAUGGUAUCGGCUUGAGUUCUCUUCAACAGUCUCCUUUGUACUCUGACAAAUGUAACCUUGUCAUUUAUGAAUUCUUCCUGAUUCUGAUUGUUGACCCCCGGACUUUGGAUACCGUCUGUUCGUGUAGGGUUGAUGAGUUCUGGUGUGCUACUGAAGAUACUCUCUGCCGAGUCUGUGUACAAGCGCCGACAUUCUGGCGUUUUCGUGGGCUUCUUGCGACGUGUUGGGGGAACAAAUUUCUGACUAUUUCGUACCAUUUCAGUGAUUUCUGGAAAUAAACUUUUUUAAAAUUGAAAAUAAGGUCAUAAUUUCUUUGCUGUGAGCAUUAUUUACCAAAUCUUGACUUUUCUCAGAAUUGUCAAAAAUGUUGAAAAUAUAUUUUUAAGCGACCGAUUAGAAUGAUAUUGAAAUGUAUUACCGUAGCUAUCCCAGAGAUUAAAGUCAUACUGUAUACCACGAG